Antechinus flavipes (yellow-footed antechinus) is the source of this 526-nucleotide long non-coding RNA. RefSeq lists it as uncharacterized. The transcript has 3 exons. Lineage: Eukaryota; Metazoa; Chordata; Mammalia; Dasyuromorphia; Dasyuridae. The record is from RefSeq and is a predicted model, not a curated record.
AUUGUUUAUCUAUUAUCCUGAGACCAAUGCUAUGCCUUCAAUGAUUAGAUUUUUUUUUUUCCCCUUGAAAAGUGGACUUCAGAUGGAGAAAAUAAACAUUGGCGAGCAAUUGCUUAAGGUGAAAUGGUUUCUCAUCAGAUUUCCUCUAAUGUAGAAUCAUAUGGCAGCACCUGGGUAAGAGAGAAGUUAUUAGAUAAUAGGAGUAACCCAUGACUGAGUCUUGGCAGGACACGGCACUACAAGUGAUACAAAUAAAUGAAAAAGAAAAGUAUGGACAAAAAGAUGUGUGGAAAGAGGAAGGAAGAGGAAAAAAAGAAAAGAAAAAUCAGUAAAGGGAAAGAAAGAAUGAAUGAAGGAGAAAAAACGAAUAAGAAGAAAACACAAUUGGUUUAGAGAAGAACAGUUUUGUGUUGUAGAAGAUAUCCAUUAACCAUCCUUGGAAUUAAAAGACCUGAAUUUAAAUCUCAUCUCUGUUGCUUACUUGAUGAAUAAUCUUGGAGAAGUAACUAAUCCUUUUUGAUGUCAC